This 282-nucleotide long non-coding RNA is filed under the name Oryza sativa tropical japonica subgroup. Its description in RNAcentral is "lncRNA OsKeNa_06g0010440". The record is from RNAcentral. Lineage: Eukaryota; Viridiplantae; Streptophyta; Magnoliopsida; Poales; Poaceae.
GAAAUAUUUGCACAAAUAUUUUUUUCCGCACGACGGGAACGCGGGAUCGAAACGGUGCCGCGCUUGGUAUUCCACGGGACCGGCGAUCGCGCAGGACGGGUGUGCGGCACCGUCUCGCUCCCGCAGCUUAGGAGAGCGGCAGCGUGGCGGAGGGCGGCACCAAGCGGGACGGAGCCGGUCGCGCGGCGCCAUGGCGCGGGACCUUGCGCGGCACUGAUGCGCGGGACUGUGCUUGUCGCGCAGCGCCGUGGUGCGGGACCGCCCUCCAGCGAGUCCAUGUGA